UGGCGCACGGGUGAGUAACACGUAGAUCAUCUCCCCUCGAGUGGUGGAUAACUCUCCGAAAGGAGAGCUAAUACAGCAUGAGACCACGGCUCCGAUGGAGCUGCGGCCAAAGCAGGCCACUACAUGUAAGCUUGCGCUUGAGGAUGAGUCUGCGGCCCAUCAGCUAGUUGGUAGGGUAAAGGCCUACCAAGGCGAAGACGGGUAGCUGGUCUGAGAGGAUGAACAGCCACACUGGAACUGAGACACGGUCCAGACUCCUACGGGAGGCAGCAGUGGGAAUCUUGCGCAAUGGGCGAAAGCCUGACGCAGCGACGCCGCGUGAGCGAUGAAGGCCUUCGGGUUGUAAAGCUCUGUGGGGAGGAAAGAAUAAGGCAUGGCUAAUAUCCAUGUCGAUGACGGUACCUCCUUAGCAAGCACCGGCUAACUCUGUGCCAGCAGCCGCGGUAA
Molecule: ribosomal RNA, 447 nt
Filed under: uncultured delta proteobacterium
Lineage: Bacteria; Deltaproteobacteria
Description: bacterial SSU rRNA
Rfam family: Bacterial small subunit ribosomal RNA
Source: RNAcentral